CCAAGAAAAACCGAGGCCUCCGCGCCGCCUAGAGAGGCCACACAGCGCUCAGGUCUCUCACUGGCCGCACUUCCGGCGGCUUCAUAAGAGCUUCCUGCGCCCUCCGCCUCUCUACACACGGGCCCAGCACUAGGCUUCACAGUGUUUACUGAGUGCCUGUGUGCGUUGGGCUGUUCUCAGAGCCGGCUCCACCAGUGAUCAGAAUAGACAGAGUUCCCAGGGAAUCCAUCUGCUCCUGGACCUCACAGGUGAAUGGGAAGGCAGGCAGCACAAGGAAUGUGUGAAUCACAGUGUAUGUCCAGAGGUGCUAAGUGCUCUGAAAGGUCUGAGAGGCACCACCGCCACUCACACGUGUCCCUUGGCUCGUUGGGUGGCAUGAAACAGUAAUGGACCACACACAUCUUCCUCUGGAUCCUUCAGCUUCAUUGGUUCCUGGCUGUGUUUUGCUCAAUGACAGCAAACCCUCACUUCUUCAGGACACCCACACCAUCAAGGAAAACACAAUUUUCAGUCCAUCCUGGAUUCCAGCUUAUGACCACAGGCCCCAGCUUGUCUCUCUGCCCUUCCCAGUUUCCUGUCCUGACCCAGCUAUGUCCCAUGAUUCUGUGAGAUGCAAUUUCUGUACCAUCACAUGAUUUACAUACACAGCUUCUGUCUCUGGUUCUGCGUCUCUGAUUAAACCCUGAAACAGUUUGCUCAGAAAACAUCUGCACAUGUGUGCACACUUGCUUUCCUAUUUGUUAAAGCAAGUGCAGGAUUAAACAUUUAAAUGUCACCCUUUCAAUUAUACCUACUUUUUUGUUUCCUUUAUCAUUAAGACUUGCAAGUGCAUGAUGAAAUCAAGGCCUGCCACCAACUCUACUUGAUCCAAUUAACUGCCAUUAUGAUUAGUAGUUACUGUACACUAAAAAUGUCCACACUGGUCCAAGCAGUCAGAGGGAGCCCCUGACCUUGGCUGACCUUCUUGAACCUGCUGUGGUUUUGGACUACAGGACCCCUGACUGUGCUCAGUGUAAAAGGAUCAGAGGCCAAAGUCUGCACUUGUGGGCGUGCACCUGAAUUUUUUGGUCCUUUUCCUAUGUUGUUAGAGCGCCAAGCUGGAAAUUGUCCUUUUGUGGUUGUGUUUAUAUUGACUUUUGACUAACCCCGAGUUUGUCAUUUGCCUUUGUACUUGGUUAUUUUUUGGUCAUGCAAAAGUUUAUUUCUGUGUAGUCACACUUAUCAGUGUUUUUUCCCUUACUGUUUCUUGAUUUUGAGCCAUACUAAAAUUGCCCUAAAUUUCAGUUCUAGAGAAUUUUAUACAUGUUUUCAUCUAGUACUUGUUUGGUUUUGUUUCUUUACAUAUAAAUCUCUCUUCCAGUUGGAAUUUAUUCUAUGUGAUACGAAGAAUGAGUUUGGUAACUAAAUGGCUACUGGUUAUCCCAGUACUACAUAUUAUGUUCACCCCUUGCCCAUGGGUUUGAGACACCACUUUUCUCUUUUCAUUUAACUUUUUAAAAUUUACUGAUUUUACAGAGAGGGGAGGACAGGUGGGGGGAGAGAGAAAGAAACAUCAAUUUGUUCCACUUAUUUAUACACUCAUUGAUUGAUUCUUGUACGUACCCUGUCUGGGAAUUGAACCUACAAACUUCGUGUCUCAGGAUGAUGCUCUAAUCAAGUGAGCUAUCUGGCCAGGGCAAGAUGCCAUUUUUCUUAUUUUUCCAUGUGGGAGUGGUCUCUCCAGUUGAUAUUCUGACAUUUGGAAAGGCUCAGAGCCAACCCAAUGAGCACAGAAAACCCUGCAUGCAGAAUAAGCCCCGUGGGUGCCUGGGACCCAGGCCACACUGCCCCCGCCUCCCAUGCCCAGGGGCCAGUGGUGAUGGUCUGGCUCUUGCUUGCAAAGACUUAGGUGAGUGGCGCAGUUGAGACUCUGCUGCUGCGGAGGCUGCAUGGUGUGGCCUACACUGUCUUGAGGCAUCAGAGUCCUAGGGUGUUGGGAGCCGGCCAGCAACCAUCCCUUGACAAGGGCAGGACGGUUGAGAUGCAUCUGCAAGGCAGAGGCAACUGUGGCUGGAUUUCCUGUCUAUCUCUCUUUGCAUGUUUGUUUUGGUGACCAAAAGGUGGUGGGAUUGUUAGACACUUGUAUUUCAGGUUCAUUGAUUAGCAUAAUUCCAAUGAAGUUAUACAAAAUAAUUUCUUGACCAGAGAACGAAGCCCCUGAAUGUCUAAAAGUUGUUGGAAUAACAGCCCUCCUUUACCUUGAACAGGAAUAUAUAUUAAUUAGAA
Long non-coding RNA from Artibeus jamaicensis (Jamaican fruit-eating bat), 2265 nucleotides. RefSeq lists it as uncharacterized. The transcript has 2 exons. Lineage: Eukaryota; Metazoa; Chordata; Mammalia; Chiroptera; Phyllostomidae. The record is from RefSeq and is a predicted model, not a curated record.